GGUGCUAUAGUGUAGUGGUUAUCAUAGUUCGUUGUGGCCGAACUGACCUGGGUUCGAUUCCCAGUAGCGCCA
Molecule: transfer RNA, 72 nt
Organism: Aspergillus ustus
Lineage: Eukaryota; Fungi; Ascomycota; Eurotiomycetes; Eurotiales; Aspergillaceae
Rfam family: tRNA
About the family: Transfer RNA (tRNA) molecules are approximately 80 nucleotides in length. Their secondary structure includes four short double-helical elements and three loops (D, anti-codon, and T loops). Further hydrogen bonds mediate the characteristic L-shaped molecular structure. tRNAs have two regions of fundamental functional importance: the anti-codon, which is responsible for specific mRNA codon recognition, and the 3' end, to which the tRNAs corresponding amino acid is attached (by aminoacyl-tRNA synthetases). tRNAs cope with the degeneracy of the genetic code in two manners: having more than one tRNA (with a specific anti-codon) for a particular amino acid; and 'wobble' base-pairing, i.e. permitting non-standard base-pairing at the 3rd anti-codon position.
Source: Rfam